UACGUAGGGUGCGAGCGUUGUCCGGAAUUAUUGGGCGUAAAGAGCUCGUAGGCGGUUUGUCACGUCUGCUGUGAAAUCCCGAGGCUCAACCUCGGGCCUGCAGUGGGUACGGGCAGACUGGAGUGCGGUAGGGGAGAAUGGAAUUCCUGGUGUAGCGGUGGAAUGCGCAGAUAUCAGGAGGAACACCGAUGGCGAAGGCAGUUCUCUGGGCCGAAACUGACGCUGAGGAGCGAAAGCAUGGGUAGCAAACAGG
This 253-nucleotide ribosomal RNA is filed under the name uncultured bacterium. Its description in RNAcentral is "partial 16S ribosomal RNA". It matches the Rfam family "Bacterial small subunit ribosomal RNA", at positions 524 to 776 of the family's 1533-position model. The record is from RNAcentral.